Molecule: ribosomal RNA, 465 nt
Filed under: Vreelandella stevensii
Lineage: Bacteria; Pseudomonadati; Pseudomonadota; Gammaproteobacteria; Oceanospirillales; Halomonadaceae
Description: partial 16S ribosomal RNA
Rfam family: Bacterial small subunit ribosomal RNA
Source: RNAcentral
CCUACGGGCGGCAGCAGUGGGGAAUAUUGGACAAUGGGGGGAACCCUGAUCCAGCCAUGCCGCGUGUGUGAAGAAGGCCCUCGGGUUGUAAAGCACUUUCAGUGAGGAAGAACGCCUGGUGGUUAAUACCCAUCAGGAAAGACAUCACUCACAGAAGAAGCACCGGCUAACUCCGUGCCAGCAGCCGCGGUAAUACGGAGGGUGCGAGCGUUAAUCGGAAUUACUGGGCGUAAAGCGCGCGUAGGUGGCUUGAUAAGCCGGUUGUGAAAGCCCCGGGCUCAACCUGGGAACGGCAUCCGGAACUGUCAAGCUAGAGUGUAGGAGAGGAAGGUAGAAUUCCCGGUGUAGCGGUGAAAUGCGUAGAGAUCGGGAGGAAUACCAGUGGCGAAGGCGGCCUUCUGGACUGACACUGACACUGAGGUGCGAAAGCGUGGGUAGCAAACAGGAUUAGAUACCCUGGUAGUC